UACGGGGGGGGCAAGCGUUGUUCGGAAUUACUGGGCGUAAAGGGCUCGUAGGCGGCCAACUAAGUCGGAUGUGAAAUCCCCGGGCUCAACCCGGGAACUGCGUCCGAUACUGGUGGGCUUGAAUCCGGGAGAGGGAUGCGGAAUUCCAGGUGUAGCGGUGAAAUGCGUAGAUAUCUGGAGGAACACCGGUGGCGAAGGCGGCAUCCUGGACCGGUAUUGACGCUGAGGCGCGAAAGCCAGGGGAGCAAACGGG
This 253-nucleotide ribosomal RNA is filed under the name uncultured bacterium. RNAcentral's name for it is "partial 16S ribosomal RNA". It matches the Rfam family "Bacterial small subunit ribosomal RNA", at positions 524 to 776 of the family's 1533-position model. The record is from RNAcentral.